This 703-nucleotide ribosomal RNA is filed under the name uncultured bacterium. RNAcentral describes it as "bacterial SSU rRNA". It matches the Rfam family "Bacterial small subunit ribosomal RNA", at positions 97 to 796 of the family's 1533-position model. The record is from RNAcentral.
GGCGAACGGGUGAGUAACGCGUGGAUGACCUGCCCCUUUAGCGUGGAAUAACCAGGGGAAACUCUGGCUAAUACCGCAUAAGACCGAGAGGUGAAAGGGGGCUCGCAAGGGCUCUCGCUGAAGGAGGGGUCCGCGUCCGAUUAGCUAGUUGGUAGGGUAAUGGCCUACCAAGGCGACGAUCGGUAGCCGGCCUGAGAGGGUGAUCGGCCACACUGGAACUGAGACACGGUCCAGACUCCUACGGGAGGCAGCAGUGGGGAAUUUUGCGCAAUGGGCUAACGCCUGACGCAGCAACGCCGCGUGGAGGAUGAAGGUCCUUGGAUUGUAAACUCCUGUCAGCGGGGAAAAAGCGACUCUGGCUAAUAUCCAGAGGAGUUGAUUGUACCCGCAGAGGAAGCCCCGGCUAACUCUGUGCCAGCAGCCGCGGUAAUACAGAGGGGGCAAGCGUUAUUCGGAAUUAUUGGGCGUAAAGGGCGCGUAGGCGGCUUUGCAAGUGACGGGUGAAAUCCCUCGGCUUAACCGAGGAACUGCCUGUCAGACUGCAUGGCUUGAGACCAGGAGAGGUGAGUGGAAUUCCCAGUGUAGCGGUGAAAUGCGUAGAUAUUGGGAGGAACACCAGUGGCGAAGGCGGCUCACUGGACUGGUACUGACGCUGAGGCGCGAAAGCGUGGGGAGCAAACAGGAUUAGAUACCCUGGUAGUCC